This 82-nucleotide transfer RNA is filed under the name Eubacteriaceae bacterium CHKCI005. It matches the Rfam family "tRNA". From Rfam's summary of the family: Transfer RNA (tRNA) molecules are approximately 80 nucleotides in length. Lineage: Bacteria; Bacillati; Bacillota; Clostridia; Eubacteriales; Eubacteriaceae. The record is from Rfam by way of RNAcentral.
GCGGAUGUGGCGGAAUUGGCAGACGCCCUGGAUUUAGGAUCCAGUGACUUCGGUCGUAGGGGUUCGAGUCCCCUCAUCCGCA